UUUUUGGAGAGUUUGAUCCUGGCUCAGGAUGAACGCUGGCGGCGUGCCUAAUACAUGCAAGUCGAGCGGUAAGGCUCCUGCAGAUUAUUUAAGCGGUGAAUUGUAUUCACAACCCAUACUCCCGGCUAGGAGAUAGGGUAAGUUUGAAUGAUGUGCUGGAGUACACGAGCGGCGGACGGGUGAGUAACGCGUAAGAAUGUACCCCAAACUGAGGGAUAACUGCUCGAAAGAGUAGCUAAUACCGCAUGUGCUCUUCGGAGUAAAGCUUCG
This 270-nucleotide ribosomal RNA is filed under the name bacterium. RNAcentral describes it as "partial 16S ribosomal RNA". It matches the Rfam family "Bacterial small subunit ribosomal RNA", at positions 1 to 211 of the family's 1533-position model. The record is from RNAcentral.